CAAGGAUUCCGCUAGUAACUGCGAGUGAAGCGGGAAAAGCUCAAAUUUAAAAUCUGAGGGUCUUUAUGGCCUUCCGAGUUGUAAUCUAGAGAAGUGCUAUCCGCGCUGGACCGUGUACAAGUCUCCUGGAACGGAGCGUCAUAGAGGGUGAGAAUCCCGUCUUUGACACGGACUACCAGGGCUUAUGUGAUGCGCUCUCAAAGAGUCGAGUUGUUUGGGAAUGCAGCUCUAAAUGGGUGGUAAAUUCCAUCUAAAGCUAAAUAUUGGCGAGAGACCGAUAGCGAACAAGUACCGUGAGGGAAAGAUGAAAAGAACUUUGGAAAGAGAGUUAAACAGUACGUGAAAUUGUUGAAAGGGAAACGCUUGAAGUCAGUCGCAUUGGCCAGGGAUCAACCUUGCUUUUGCUUGGUGUAUUUUCUGGUUAAUGGGUCAGCAUCAAUUUUGAUCGGUGGAAAAAGAUCAAGGGAAUGUGGCAUCUUCGGAUGUGUUAUAGCCUUUGGUUGUAUACAUCGGUUGGGAUUGAGGAACUCAGCACGCCGCAAGGCCGGGUUUUUAACCACGUACGUGCUUAGGAUGCUGGCAUAAUGGCUUUAAUCGACCCGUCUUGAAACACGGACCAAGGAGUCUAACAUGCACGCGAGUGUUUGGGUGGAAAACCCGAGCGCGUAAUGAAAGUGAAAAUUGAGAUCUCUGUCGUGGGGAGCAUCGAUGCCCGGACCAGACCUUUUGUGACGGUUCGCGGUUGAGCGUGUAUGCUGGGACCCGAAAGAUGGUGAACUAUGCCUGAUUAGGGUGAAGCCAGAGGAAACUCUGGUGGAGGCUCGUAGCGAUUCUGACGUGCUAAUCGAUCGUCAAAUUUGGGUAUAGGAGCGAAGG
Molecule: ribosomal RNA, 876 nt
Filed under: Tricholoma myomyces
Lineage: Eukaryota; Fungi; Basidiomycota; Agaricomycetes; Agaricales; Tricholomataceae
Description: eukaryotic LSU rRNA
Rfam family: Eukaryotic large subunit ribosomal RNA
Source: RNAcentral